CGCAAGCAGUGAUUUUUCUCCCAGCGCUCGACAGGGAAGGUCCAUUUCUCUGUGUCUCUGUAAAUUCCUGCAUCUGGCGCUCUUGAAAAGGCAUAAUCUGGGUUGGAACCAGGGCCAGUUAUUAAAAUGGUCAUCACCCGACCAAGGUCUAAAUCAAGUCAUGGAAGGAGGAAUCAGAUGACUUUCACAGUGCCUCGUUUUACCCUCAUAUUAUUAUGUGAGGUCUUUAACAGAAAUAAACUGUACAACAACUUGGCUGCUGACCCACUUCACAUCUCCUUGCUAAACACUGGAGAAUCACGCAAAGACUUUGAUGUAACAGAUUGACCUCUAACAGCAACCAUGGGCAUCAGUGAUGAGAAGACCCGUGUUGUGACGGCGUUGUGAGUACAGGCUGGACCCCACAGAGUGUGUGCAUGUCUGCAGUGAGGAUGAACUCUUCCACCUUGAAA
This is a long non-coding RNA of Oreochromis niloticus (Nile tilapia), 452 nucleotides long. RefSeq lists it as uncharacterized. The transcript is spliced from 4 exons. The record is from RefSeq and is a predicted model, not a curated record. NCBI's taxonomy places the organism in Eukaryota, Metazoa, Chordata, Actinopteri, Cichliformes, Cichlidae.